Long non-coding RNA from Oncorhynchus keta (chum salmon), 1409 nucleotides. RefSeq lists it as uncharacterized. The record is from RefSeq and is a predicted model, not a curated record. The transcript has 2 exons. Lineage: Eukaryota; Metazoa; Chordata; Actinopteri; Salmoniformes; Salmonidae.
UUCAAGUGUGUGCAAGUGUUUCCACUAAAGACAGAGUGAAAGAAAAUUCAGAAGAAUGAAAGAUGUGAGGUUCUGUUUGUAGAGCACUUGCUUUAUCCCGGAUGCCCACAGUUCACUCAAAGACAAAACUUGAGAAACCACAUCAACUGCGGCAGUCGAAUGCAAAUUUCCUGUAAACAGGCGAGCAGACAGAUUGGUUGCAUGGUGCAUGCCAAACAUCACCAAGGUCACAGAGAAAGCGUUUACGCCCAUCUCCAAACAGAGGUGUGCAGAAGACAGGCCGACCAUAGAAAGAGAGCGAGGCGAGAGAGGAGGGCUGCUGCUUUAAAUGGAUAAAUGUCUCCUCUUGCCCAGCUUUCCCGAUAAUCAAUCCCAUGAAUGACAAUGGGCCCGGUGCACUUACUGCAUCACUAAUGUGACAGCAGCAGUGACGAAUACGAUACGGACGGUAUUGGGUUUCAUCUCUCGGAGGGGGAAGAGUGACGUGUCGGUCAAUCUGACAGCCAAAGUGCUCGCUCUAGAAGCUAAAUACUCCUUAAAGGAGCAGAGCAGAGGCCUGCCACCGCUGUUGAGUGGCUGUGGUCUUUCAUACCCAACACUAUCAGGGUGGGCAAAGGGCCUGGCGUCGCUAUCGAGACUAGAGGUCGGCCGAUUAAUUACAGUCGAUUUCAAGUUUUCAUAACAACAGGUAAUCAGCCUUUAGGACAUUGCAAUCCACGAGGAGACUGUAUGGCAGGCUGACCACCUGUUAUGCGAGUGCAGUCAGCAAGGAGCCAUGGACCUGAGCCCUAGGACCAUGCGUCAGGACUGCCUGGCAUGAUGACUCCUUGCUGUCCCCAGUCCACCUGGCCUUGCUGCUGUUCCAGUUUCAACUGUUCUGCUUGCGGCUAUGGAACCCUAAACUGUUCAUUUUUACUCUUGAGGUGCUGUCCUGUUGCACCCUCUACAACCACUAAUCUCCACCCGGCACAGCCAGAAGAGGACUGGCAACCCCUGCAUUGCUUGCUGUUUGGGGUUUUAGGCUGGGGCUAUAUAAAUUGAUUUGAUAGAGAACGGAGGGUCUUCCAAAUAUUGAAAGUUUUCCCUUUUUUCUUUUCAUUUUUUCCCCUAAAUCUUUUGGGGGGUGUGUGUUAGAGAACCAUUUUGGUAUUUUGUAUAUAGUUAUUUGUUUCAAAAUGUAUACCUUCACCAAUUUGGCCACAUUUGGGCUACUUGUGUGGGACACCUGGGUGACUUCAUGAUAAAUGUCAUGUAGCACACUCAUUUUGGAAGUUAUCAUUCUGAAACUUUGCACAAGUACUGUUGCCCUCAUUUUUCACUGAUAUUGUCCCCAUCAUCCUAUCUGAAUGUUUGUUUUAUCUUGUUCAUCUUAAAGAUGACGAUACAAAAAUAAAAUAAAACGUAUGGUU